This 159-nucleotide unclassified non-coding RNA is filed under the name uncultured Dermateaceae. Its description in RNAcentral is "sequence contains ITS1". The record is from RNAcentral. Lineage: Eukaryota; Fungi; Ascomycota; Leotiomycetes; Helotiales; Dermateaceae.
CAGAGAUCAUGCCCUCACGGGUAGACCUCCCACCCUGUUUAAAUACCAUUGUUGCUUUGGCAGGCCCGCCCUUGGGCACUCGGCUCCGGCUGAGCAGCGCCUGCCAGAGGACCCCAACCCUAAUGUUUACGUGUCGUCUGAGUACUAUAUAAUAAGUUA